UCUUCUGGCCACCAUGAGUAUGAUUCCCACCGGCUCAGGCUCUCUGCCAGCUUUCUCCUCUGGUGCUGCCGCCAAGCAGCCUGGAUGAAGCAGGCAGCCCAUGUCCUCCAAUGGUGGGAGUAGAACCGGAACGUGUGCUGGAGCUUCUUGCUGUGUAGUCUUCUGAACUGGUUCGCGACGAACUUGAGGUCCUCGGCUCUCAGGGCAAAGGCCUCAACCUCUGUAAGGCUCUGCACUGUCCUCGUCGAAAGCGGGAAAUGGACAUUGGUCUUUGGAAGUAAAGCCCAUGUGAGCAGCUCCUCGCCAGCGAAAUCACCAGGGCGCAGGAUGAUGGAGUUGAAGAAGUUGCUGCGGCCUCCGUUGGUUGUGGAGCUCUCUAGCUUACCGCGUAUGACGAAGAGCAUCUCAUUCACAGGAUCACCCUCACGAGAAAUGUAUGUGCGCUCAGGGCACAGGAAAGACACCAGACGCUCGCAGAUGGCGUCUAGAAGUUGGUAAUCCAUCUCCGAGAAAAAUGGGACCCGUCGAACAAGGUCCAAACAAAGAUGGCGCUGUACAUCCCGGCGUAUAUCAGCAGGCAAAGCUUGUAAGAUGGAUUCCUCUUCUACUCCUCGUGUUGCAAGCCAUUUAACCUGAACGAAUCGCCGGACACGAUCUUGAAGUUCAUCAGGGAGCUGAUGAUGUCUCAUCCACUCCUCCAUAUCUCUUUGCCGGAGCCUCCACUCUUCAAGCCUUUUACUGAUGGACUGCAAGUAUGUCUACAAGAUGACAAACAAAAAGGAAGUAAGCAACAUCUCUGAACCAACAACCUCAAUUGGUUGCAAAUAUGUACAGAAAGUUUAAUAUUCAAGAUGGGGAUGUAUAUUAAAAAUUAAUUAUACCUAAGCUGCAGCAAGCCCCACCACAGACAAAAGAAGUACUUCUCAAGAAAUGGAGCAGAAACAGCACCUUUACUCAGUGCGGUUGAAAACAUUCCAUAAUUAAAUGGUGGGGGGUUAGCACUUGAAUUACGAUUGGGAUCACAAUUGUCAAAUAUACUUGUGUUCUUUCCCCAAGUAAGAUAACUGCUAGAACCAGUAUUGUCACAGCUUAUGAAGUUAAAACUACAAGACUCAUUUAGGCACUGCUGAUUCCAACAUGUAAUUUGCCGUUCAAUGGAGAGAAGAUAGUGGUCAUACAUGACUUGCAAGCAUGUAGUACAGAAGAUUGUAUGCUGCUCCUAGCCAGGCUGACUUGGCAACUACUCCAGCUGCUUUGAUAAUUUGAUUGCUUAAUGGUACAAUGAGAUACAUUCUGAAUAUAUACUGAAUCAUAAUAACCAGAGCAAAUGUGGUGUUCCGGAUGUUGUAAUCUGAGUUUUUUAUUGAAGGCAUAAUAAUCCACACGGUAACCUGCAAGAGAAAAGGGAUCGUUGCAAGUAGGUCAAUAAAGAAAUCUGUUCUGAGAUAUCUCCGUUGAAUCUUCUUUAAGUCCAAGACAAGCUCUCCCUUCCCAAGUACUCUGGACUUUGGAUCUACAUAUGCAGUAUGGAACUUGACCAUGAUGUUCAGCAUGUAAAACAAGUCCGCAAAUGUCCUAAGAACAGUGAUAGUUAUGCUCAAUCGCCGGUCCUUGGCAAUGCAUGAACGGUUGGUACUUUCAUCUAGUACAUGAACUAGCGGCAGGUAGUAGAAGAAAGGAUCAAUGAAAAGAGCAAACAAACAGGACCCUAGGAACACCCUGUUCCACAU
RNAcentral lists this small RNA (1730 nucleotides) under Oryza sativa Japonica Group (Japanese rice). RNAcentral's name for it is "sRNA Os09g0558450". Lineage: Eukaryota; Viridiplantae; Streptophyta; Magnoliopsida; Poales; Poaceae. The record is from RNAcentral.